GGAAGUAAAAGUCGUAACAAGGUUUCCGUAGGUGAACCUGCGGAAGGAUCAUUAUUGAAUAAACCUGAUGUAGUUGUAGCUGGCUCUCUCGGGAGCAUGUGCUCGCUCGUCAUCUUUAUAUUUCCACCUGUGCACCUUUUGUAGACCCAGGCGACUUGAGCAAUCAAGUCAUUUGGGCCUAUGUUUUAUCAUAUACCCCAUAGUAUGUAUCAGAAUGUAUCAAUGGGCUUCGUGCCUAUAAACACUAUACAACUUUCAGCAACGGAUCUCUUGGCUCUCGCAUCGAUGAAGAACGCAGCGAAAUGCGAUAAGUAAUGUGAAUUGCAGAAUUCAGUGAAUCAUCGAAUCUUUGAACGCACCUUGCGCUCCUUGGUAUUCCGAGGAGCAUGCCUGUUUGAGUGUCAUUAAAUUCUCAACCUCUCUAGUUUUUUGACUAGUAGAUGGCUUGGAUGUGGGGGUUUUUUGCAGGCUUUCACAAGUCAGCUCCCCUUAAAUGUAUUAGCCGGUGCCCUCUAACCGUCUAUUGGUGUGAUAAUUAUCUACGCCGUGGACUAUUAGACUUGGUUGUACUGCUUAUAACCGUCCUGUACUGGACAAUCUAUGACAUUUUGACCUCAAAUCAGGUAGGACUACCCGCUGAACUU
This 644-nucleotide ribosomal RNA is filed under the name Deconica protea (nom. inval.). Its description in RNAcentral is "eukaryotic LSU rRNA". The stretch from base 251 to 404 matches the Rfam family "5.8S ribosomal RNA". Lineage: Eukaryota; Fungi; Basidiomycota; Agaricomycetes; Agaricales; Kuehneromycetaceae. The record is from RNAcentral.